ACUGGAGAGGCGGACUCUUCAAUUUCAAAUUCACACACUACUCUCCCUCGCUAAAUUUUCAAAUCUCAAACAAGAUCCUCCAAAAUGGCUGCACCUCAGAAGCAAAACAGUGUAAGGAAUCAAGAAGCAAACACAAUGGCGGCUGCUAAAGGGCAAUUGAACAUGGGUCUCAGUCAAAUCUCUGAAGAUAGUCGUACAAUGGGCAUCAGAAAUUUUAAGGUGUACUCUGAGAAUGAAAGGGUUAAAGAUGAUACCAAAAAGAUAAGGAAUUCUGUAUCAGUUAAAAAGGGUGCUGCUCUUACUAGUACAAAUAUUAAGAAGGGCGUUGUUAACAAGGAGAAUGAAAAAGGCAAGUCUAGUACUUCUGCUAACACAAAAGUUGGAAGAAAAGCAUUGGUUGAUGUCAGCAACAUAUCGGGAAACAUUCCAAGAAAUGUAGUGCAUGAUGGUUCAAAGUCAUUGAAGAGCGUGAGAAGUGUACUCUUGCAACGGGUUUCCUUGGGUACUGUUACAAGGACUACAGAUGUCUCAUCAAGAAAGUCUUUCAUGGGAAAAGAAAGAAAAAGUGCAAGUCAAGGUGCUGUUGCAGUGCAACAUUCAAAGAAAGGUAGCAAAGAUAAAGCAUCUUCUUCAGAUGAUCAGCGGACCAAGGCCAAAGGUAGAGGGCGUGUAUCUGUAGCCAUUCCCAGCAGGACUUUCAGGAAUCCUCCUAUACCAACAAGGAAGUCUUUACCAGUGCUAAAGAGGGUGAUCCAGGAAGAUACAAGUACUUCAAAGCCAAUUGUGAAGAUGACAUUCAUUGGUUCCAAUGCUAAAGGGACUUCAAAAUCCAAGCAUUUGUCAAACCUGAAUAAGUUGAAAACUGUUGCUGCAUCUAAGAAAAAAGAGGAAGACGUGAGAUCUUCUCUAUCAGAGAAUUUUGCAUCAGUAGUUUCACGUGAAACAACUCAAGGAAAGCCUUUAAUUGCUGGCAAUACCAAUCCAAGCUCAGAUUCAUCAGAUUUCAUUGCCAAGAAAAAAUCUGAUCGGAGGAGAUCUUACACAUCUUUAUUGAUGGCAAGAUCAAAGUUUAUAGAGGACCAAGGUGACAUCAAGGAGCAAGAAAAGCUACCAAGAAUUUAUGAUGACUGCAAUCAACUGGAAGUUGCUGAAUAUGUUGAUGAAAUCUACCAAUAUUAUUGGGUUAUAGAGGCACAGAAUCCACCUCCAGAAAAUUAUAUGUCAAUCCAAACAGAUAUUACACCUCAGAUGCGGGGCAUUUUAAUCAACUGGCUAAUUGAAGUACACUUCAAAUUUGAAUUAAUGCCAGAAACACUUUAUCUCAUGGUCACAUUGUUAGACCGGUAUCUUUCUCAAGCAAAAAUUAAGAAGAAUGAAAUGCAACUGGUUGGUCUUACUGCACUUUUGCUGGCAUCAAAAUACGAGGACUUCUGGCAUCCUAGGAUCAAAGACUUAAUUAGCAUCUCAGCUGAAGCUUACACAAGAGGCCAGAUGCUUGGGCUGGAAAAGCUUAUGCUAAAGACAUUGAAGUUCCGUCUAAAUUUGCCUACUCCAUAUGUCUUCAUCUUAAGAUUUCUCAAGGCUGCUCAGUCUGACACUAAGCUCGAACAUCUGGCUUUCUACCUCAUUGAGUUGACCUUGGUAGAAUAUGAAGCCUUGAGGUUCAAGUCGUCAUUGUUAUGUGCAUCCACUAUCUAUGUUGCUAGAUGUACGCUGCAAAUGAAUCCGGUCUGGACCUCCUUACUUGUCAAGCAUGCACGAUAUGACACGCCCCAAAUCAGGGAUUGUGCAGAGAUGAUUUUGAAAUUCCACAAAGAUGCUAAAAAAGGGCACCUGAAGGUCACUUAUGAGAAGUAUAUGAGGCCUGCUCUCAGUUGUGUUGCUGCAAUUAAACCCUUAGAUAGACUUCCUCUUUGAUUUCUCUUGAUUGGACAUGUUUUUUACCUCUGUAAAUAUUGUUACAGUACUGAAGGAAAUUAAUUUGUGCCAGGAAAGGCUUUGUGCUAGGUUAUACCAUCAUUGGUCACAACUCAAUUUGCUUUUAAUCAUACUGAGUGAUGACAUUUUCCUAGUUGUUUGCUUACUGGUGUUGUUCUUGAUGUAGUUUUCUUCUUGUUUGCGCCAGUGUGUACUUACAUCGUAAUCAGGCACCAUGGCUUAUGGUGCCUGUUUCUAACAAACAUAUUCAUGAAUGUAAGGGAGCUAAUGACUUUUUUUGGAUAACUCAAUUAUAGUUUAUAUGAGUAUUUUUAAAUCUAA
Molecule: RNA transcript, 2259 nt
Organism: Mangifera indica (mango)
Lineage: Eukaryota; Viridiplantae; Streptophyta; Magnoliopsida; Sapindales; Anacardiaceae
Gene name: putative cyclin-B3-1
Exons: 22
Source: RefSeq, a predicted model, not a curated record